Molecule: transfer RNA, 73 nt
Filed under: Accumulibacter sp.
Lineage: Bacteria; Pseudomonadati; Pseudomonadota; Betaproteobacteria
Description: tRNA-Met
Rfam family: tRNA
About the family: Transfer RNA (tRNA) molecules are approximately 80 nucleotides in length. Their secondary structure includes four short double-helical elements and three loops (D, anti-codon, and T loops). Further hydrogen bonds mediate the characteristic L-shaped molecular structure. tRNAs have two regions of fundamental functional importance: the anti-codon, which is responsible for specific mRNA codon recognition, and the 3' end, to which the tRNAs corresponding amino acid is attached (by aminoacyl-tRNA synthetases). tRNAs cope with the degeneracy of the genetic code in two manners: having more than one tRNA (with a specific anti-codon) for a particular amino acid; and 'wobble' base-pairing, i.e. permitting non-standard base-pairing at the 3rd anti-codon position.
Source: RNAcentral
CGCGGGAUAGCGCAGUUGGCAGCGUGCCAGGUUCAUACCCUGGAGGUCGGUGGUUCAAGUCCAUCUCCCGCAA